GCCCUCGUGGGGUAGCUUGGAUAUCCUAGAAGGUUGCGGACCUUCGGACUCGUGUUCGAAUCGCGACGGGGGCA
Molecule: transfer RNA, 74 nt
Filed under: Thermoplasmata archaeon HGW-Thermoplasmata-1
Lineage: Archaea; Methanobacteriati; Thermoplasmatota; Thermoplasmata
Description: tRNA-Arg
Source: RNAcentral